AGGGUAGCUUGCUACCUGACCUAGCGGCGGACGGGUGAGUAAUGCUUAGGAAUCUGCCUAUUAGUGGGGGACAACAUUCCGAAAGGAAUGCUAAUACCGCAUACGCCCUACGGGGGAAAGCAGGGGAUCUUCGGACCUUGCGCUAAUAGAUGAGCCUAAGUCAGAUUAGCUAGUUGGUGGGGUAAAGGCCUACCAAGGCGACGAUCUGUAGCGGGUCUGAGAGGAUGAUCCGCCACACUGGGACUGAGACACGGCCCAGACUCCUACGGGAGGCAGCAGUGGGGAAUAUUGGACAAUGGGCGAAAGCCUGAUCCAGCCAUGCCGCGUGUGUGAAGAAGGCCUUUUGGUUGUAAAGCACUUUAAGCGAGGAGGAGGCUACUUGGAUUAAUACUCUAGGAUAGUGGACGUUACUCGCAGAAUAAGCACCGGCUAACUCUGUGCCAGCAGCCGCGGUAAUACAGAGGGUGCGAGCGUUAAUCGGAUUUACUGGGCGUAAAGCGUGCGUAGGCGGCUUCUUAAGUCGGAUGUGAAAUCCCUGAGCUUAACUUAGGAAUUGCAUUCGAUACUGGGAAGCUAGAGUAUGGGAGAGGAUGGUAGAAUUCCAGGUGUAGCGGUGAAAUGCGUAGAGAUNUGGAGGAANACCGAUGGCGAAGGCAGCCAUCUGGNNNAAUANUGACGCUNANGUACGAAAGCNUGGGGAGCAAACAGGAUUAGAUACCCUGGUAGUCCAUGCCGUAAACGAUGUCUACUAGCCGUUGGGGCCUUUGAGGCUUUAGUGGCGCAGCUAACGCGAUAAGUAGACCGCCUGGGGAGUACGGUCGCAAGACUAAAACUCAAAUGAAUUGACGGGGGCCCGCACAAGCGGUGGAGCAUGUGGUUUAAUUCGAUGCAACGCGAAGAACCUUACCUGGUCUUGACAUAGUAAGAACUUUCCAGAGAUGGAUUGGUGCCUUCGGGAACUUACAUACAGGUGCUGCAUGGCUGUCGUCAGCUCGUGUCGUGAGAUGUUGGGUUAAGUCCCGCAACGAGCGCAACCCUUUUCCUUAUUUGCCAGCGGGUUAAGCCGGGAACUUUAAGGAUACUGCCAGUGACAAACUGGAGGAAGGCGGGGACGACGUCAAGUCAUCAUGGCCCUUACGACCAGGGCUACACACGUGCUACAAUGGUCGGUACAAAGGGUUGCUACCUAGCGAUAGGAUGCUAAUCUCAAAAAGCCGAUCGUAGUCCGGAUUGGAGUCUGCAACUCGACUCCAUGAA
RNAcentral lists this ribosomal RNA (1257 nucleotides) under uncultured Acinetobacter sp. Its description in RNAcentral is "bacterial SSU rRNA". It matches the Rfam family "Bacterial small subunit ribosomal RNA", at positions 72 to 1324 of the family's 1533-position model. Lineage: Bacteria; Pseudomonadati; Pseudomonadota; Gammaproteobacteria; Moraxellales; Moraxellaceae. The record is from RNAcentral.